This is a long non-coding RNA of Chelonia mydas (Green sea turtle), 635 nucleotides long. RefSeq lists it as uncharacterized. The transcript is spliced from 3 exons. The record is from RefSeq and is a predicted model, not a curated record. NCBI's taxonomy places the organism in Eukaryota, Metazoa, Chordata, Testudines, Cheloniidae.
GGCUCCGGGGCCCACUUCGCGCCGGGCUGCAGCCCCUAAAGCGCGUGGGAUCCGGCCCUGCCGGGCAGGGGGGAGGCAGCUCUGAGAAUCGCGGCCAAGGGGAGCCGCGGGGGGCGCUGCCUGCGGGGCACGCACAGGGCCGCGCAGCGCCUCCUGCACUCCCCACACCGAACGGGAGCUGCCCCAACGUCCCACAGGAGAUCAAAGUCGGACCAGAUGUAGUGUUCACAGCACUGAAAACUAUUAGAGGGUUAUCCAGGCUGUCUCUCUCUCACACACUCAUCUAAAAAUGCAGUGCACUUUAACAAUUUAAAACGUUGGCUCCCAAGCACAUCCUCAAAGAGAUUUCCUUGCAGUGUCUGCCAGCCUACCCACACUUAGCUAUGAAAAGAGAUGAAUUAAACAUACCCACAAACUUUUAAAUACUUACUGAGAAGAGGCGAAAGAAAUUCCUUCCUGUAUUGUGCUUGGUUCAAGAAAAAACUAAUACAGAAUUCUUUUGUUCUUAACCUUGUCACCAGCUCCACCUACAAUACAUGACAGAAAACAGGAGAAAUGAAAGUUACUCAAAAGCUUACCAUUUGGUGGCAGCACUGUGAAUUGAUUUUGCAAUGCAAUACAUUUUCUUUCUUUUA